UAUUUACUCCCUCCGUCCCAAAAUUCUUAUUUUAGAUUUGUCUAAAUACGGAUGUAUCAAGUCACUUUUUAGUAUUAGAUAUAUCCAUAUCAAGACAAAUCUAAGACAAAAAUUUUGAAACGGAGGGAAUACAAU
Non-coding RNA from Triticum urartu, 135 nucleotides. The record is from Rfam. Lineage: Eukaryota; Viridiplantae; Streptophyta; Magnoliopsida; Poales; Poaceae.